GACGAACGCUGGCGGCGUGCUUAACACAUGCAAGUCGAGCGGAAAGGCCCCUUUGGGGGUACUCGGGCGGCGAACGGGUGAGUAACACGUGAGUAACCUGCCCCAGGCUUUGGGAUAACCCUCGGAAACGGGGGCUAAUACCGGAUAGGACCUGCUGCCGCCUGGUGGUGGGUGGAAAGUUUUUUCGGCUUGGGAUGGGCUCGCGGCCUAUCAGCUUGUUGGUGGGGUGAUGGCCUACCAAGGCGACGACGGGUAGCCGGCCUGAGAGGGCGACCGGCCACACUGGGACUGAGACAUGGCCCAGACUCCUACGGGAGGCAGCAGUGGGGAAUAUUGCACAAUGGGCGCAAGCCUGAUGCAGCGACGCCGCGUGAGGGAUGACGGCCUUCGGGUUGUAAACCUCUUUCAGCAGGGACGAAGCCUUUUGGGGUGACGGUACCUGCAGAAGAAGCGCCGGCCAACUACGUGCCAGCAGCCGCGGUAA
RNAcentral lists this ribosomal RNA (484 nucleotides) under uncultured bacterium. Its description in RNAcentral is "partial 16S ribosomal RNA". It matches the Rfam family "Bacterial small subunit ribosomal RNA", at positions 28 to 523 of the family's 1533-position model. The record is from RNAcentral.